AUUGAACGCUGGCGGCAGGCCUAACACAUGCAAGUCGAGCGCGAAAGUUCUUCGGAAUGAGUAAAGCGGCGGACGGGUGAGUAAUACAUGGGAAUCUGCCUGGUAGUGGGGGACAACGUUUCGAAAGGAACGCUAAUACCGCAUACGCCCUACGGGGAAAGGGGGGAUCUUCGGACCUCUCGCUAUCAGAUGAGCCCAUG
This 200-nucleotide ribosomal RNA is filed under the name uncultured bacterium. RNAcentral describes it as "partial 16S ribosomal RNA". It matches the Rfam family "Bacterial small subunit ribosomal RNA", at positions 30 to 235 of the family's 1533-position model. The record is from RNAcentral.